RNAcentral lists this transfer RNA (77 nucleotides) under Chloroflexota bacterium. RNAcentral describes it as "tRNA-Val". It matches the Rfam family "tRNA". From Rfam's summary of the family: Transfer RNA (tRNA) molecules are approximately 80 nucleotides in length. Their secondary structure includes four short double-helical elements and three loops (D, anti-codon, and T loops). The record is from RNAcentral. Lineage: Bacteria; Bacillati; Chloroflexota.
GGGCGAAUAGCUCAGCUGGUUAGAGCAUCCGGCUUACAUCCGGAAGGUCACAGGUUCGAAUCCUGUUUCGCCCACCA